GGUUUCACAAAACUGACGGCGCAGGAUCGACCAUGAAACCCCAGCUUCCAGGACGCCGGACCACUCGCCAGGUAUCCGGUUCUCACGACUCCCUGGUCGCCACGUGGAAUAAGGCGGUGGCGCCGGAGUCUUGAGGCCCGGUACGGGAUCACUUGAGAGGAGAUCCUGGAGCCGGCGGAGGCGGCGAUUGGGAUCGCGAACGGGGACGCGGUGGUGAUCCAAGUAGGGAGAAGGGCCGGCGAGCAGAGCGUAGUCACCGUCAACUGCCCCGAUCAGAUUGGCCUCAGAUGCGACCUCUGUCGCGUCUGCAUCAUUCGAGGAGGUGAAGAAGAUGCUUCUCAUGUUCUUUGUGAGCUUGAGCUUAUGGUUCACAGAGUAAAGGUUUCCACAACUCCAGAUGAUUGAGUCAUCGACGUUUUCAUUAUUACAGAUGGCAUAUGAGUAAUCAUCUACUGAGUUUGGCUUCCUAUUGUCAAUAGAUGUAUUUCGUAGCUGUUAAUCUAUCAGAUAUUUGAUUAGCUUUGACAUCACUAUAAGUUUCUCCAAAGUGUUAUUAUACCAAGACUGACCUUUUUCUGUAUCAACAAGGAAUGCUUUAAUCUUA
Molecule: long non-coding RNA, 604 nt
Organism: Zingiber officinale
Lineage: Eukaryota; Viridiplantae; Streptophyta; Magnoliopsida; Zingiberales; Zingiberaceae
Exons: 2
Source: RefSeq, a predicted model, not a curated record